Methanoculleus sp. MAB1 is the source of this 107-nucleotide transfer RNA. It matches the Rfam family "tRNA". From Rfam's summary of the family: Transfer RNA (tRNA) molecules are approximately 80 nucleotides in length. Their secondary structure includes four short double-helical elements and three loops (D, anti-codon, and T loops). Further hydrogen bonds mediate the characteristic L-shaped molecular structure. tRNAs have two regions of fundamental functional importance: the anti-codon, which is responsible for specific mRNA codon recognition, and the 3' end, to which the tRNAs corresponding amino acid is attached (by aminoacyl-tRNA synthetases). tRNAs cope with the degeneracy of the genetic code in two manners: having more than one tRNA (with a specific anti-codon) for a particular amino acid; and 'wobble' base-pairing, i.e. permitting non-standard base-pairing at the 3rd anti-codon position. Lineage: Archaea; Methanobacteriati; Methanobacteriota; Methanomicrobia; Methanomicrobiales; Methanomicrobiaceae. The record is from Rfam.
CCCGCCUUAACUCAGACUGGUAGAGUGCGCGGCUGUAGUAUAGUAUUCGCUCUCGGGCGAACUGCGCGGCUACCGCGAUGUCCCCGGUUCGAAUCCGGGAGGCGGGA